Oryzias latipes (Japanese medaka) is the source of this 4101-nucleotide long non-coding RNA. RefSeq lists it as uncharacterized. NCBI's taxonomy places the organism in Eukaryota, Metazoa, Chordata, Actinopteri, Beloniformes, Adrianichthyidae. The record is from RefSeq and is a predicted model, not a curated record.
CCUCAAAAAUGGUCCGACACCGGAUUCUGUGGAAAGCCACACUAAUGGCAUCAUUUCAAAGGAAAACUAUACACAUUUUUAACUCUAGAAAGUUUUUUCUUUCCAAACUAAACUGUAGUUUUACCGUUAUGUUGUUUACCUUUUAUCACAGCCAAUCAGCUUUCACUGGUGUGGCACACAUCUUUAUGCCGGAUGCCCUUCCUGACACGACCCUGUCUUAUUUGGGCCCUCUAGUGGCUGCAUUUGUAGGCAGUAGCGUGAAGCGUCUUCCCCGAGGACCCCGACCAUCCAGCCACCACAUUAUGGAUGUCAUGUUUCUGUGUUUAUUCUAAUGGAGCGAUGGCUUCUGAGGAAGAUGGAUAAGGAAUCCAGAAAAAUAAAAUAACUGAGACACCUGUCACAUCGGGUGCUCAACUAUGGAAAUUCAUAAAAUGGCCAGUGUUCCCCAAAAUGAAAGAAAUGCAGUUCAAAAUGAUAAAAAAAUUAUUACCUAUGGGCAGAGACGUUGAGGAGUAGAUUUGGCUUUGAGGUCGAUCCGUGUGAUUUCUGUCAUACAGCCCCAGAAACACCAGACAGCGGUUUCUUUCAUGUCCAGUGAUCCAAAGAUUCUGGCCAGAUUUUCAUAACUGGCUUAGUCAAAGAAUGAAUCUCAUACAAUUCACAGAAAAAUACAUUUUUUUUAUAACAGUAAGUUGUCAGAGAGACAACAACAUUAGUGGACAUCCUCCCAGUGUUAGAAAUGAGGGGGAAAAAAUGGUUGUCUUCCGGACAAGUAAUAUUUGGUUGUCCUCCCUAUUUUUUGGUGGUCUUUCGAUACCAAUAUUCAACAGCAAUGAAACCUAUUUAGAUGUCCGUACUUACAUCUUUAUUUCUUCUCUACAUCUAAUAUCAACUGCCUCUGAUGGACAUUUGAAAAAAAAACUCUUUGAAUAUUGGAAAACAAACAUUUUACUAAAUAUUGAAACAUCUGGUCACACAAAGUAUUGCAUCUAAAUAAUAAUUUUCCUUAAAAAUCCACCACGUUUAACAUACUUGAGCAUGUGCCAUCAUCCUUGCCAGUGUAGCAAAUGGGUUUUGACAGACAAACUCUUCCUUCAUGGGCACUUAUCUAUAAACACAAUUUUUCCCCUCAUAAGUUUUUUAUUUGGAAUAACAGAUAUAUCCUUUACAAGAACAAAUCUUUAUUUUACAAUAAUUGAUUUGACAAUAAUAUCCUACUGGUGGGUCAGCUCUUUAACCACAAUGGUCAAUUACUUAGAUAUGAAGAAUUUCACCUUAAAUACAACCUUGCUGUUCCUCCUAAAGAGUAUGCCAUUGUUUUUGAUGCUGUCACUAAUGAAAUCUGUGAACUCUUUAAAAAUACUGUACUUGAUGCAAAUAUUCCCUUCAUAUCUCUAAGUGACACCACUAUUGGAAAAUCUUGUUUCAACUGUGCUCGAAAAAAUAACAAGAUCAUACGUGCCCUGUUUCUGCAAAAUGUAAUUUCUGUUCCUUCUGCUGUUUUUUAUUGUAGAAAAUUUAUUCCUGACUUGCCCUGGAAAAAUGUUUGGACCCUGCAUCAGAAAUUAUUAAUUAAUAUCAAGAUGAGAGACGUCUUCUACAAACUCCUACAUAGAAUCUAUCCCACUAAUCAAUACAUGCUGAGAUAUAAGAAGACUCUUGACCCCAACUGUGCCUUUUGUAAAGAACACCCAGAAACAAUCAGUCACCUAUUUUGGAACUGUAAUACUACUAAAAAACUUUGGAAAGAUUGUGCACGUUUUAUAAAUUAUAAAUUAGAUUCACAACAUCAGAUGAAAUUUGAACAUAUCAUAUUUGGCCUACACGAAAAAAAUAUAAGACCAAACGUAAAAUUGGCAAUUAAUCUAAUUAUAAUAUUUGGUCAAUUUCAUAUUCACAAAUCAAAGUUUUCUUCAUCACAACUUUUUUUCCCUUUAAUAAUUAAAGAAUUAGAAUCUUAUUUACAUACUAUUUCUAAUAGUUUAAACAAAAAGGCCAUACAAAUUUAUGAAAACUGUCUGUCUCUGAAUAUUUUCAAUGUAUAGCAUCUGUAAUCUUUUUAUAAUACAUGUACCAUCCCCUGACAUUGUUGUUGUUAUGACUAUUGUUCCUGUCAUACAUAUUUGUUACAUUUGUGUUGAAUAAUAAAGUUUAAAAAAAAGUGUAGCAAAUGGAUUUUUCUUUAAUGAACAUUCUCAAAAUAUUCACAGUGAUGAUUUACUUUUGACAUCACAGUAAUACAUUAAAUAUGAGUUGAGUUAACACAUUAUGUAAAUAAAUAUGUUGUUAAUCUUCCAAUUAUUUUAUUAGAAUAUUUAGUUCCACUCUGUCACUUGUUGCGCAGGGAAGGCAAUUAGUGAGACACACCCUGCCUUCAGCACGCGGCCACUGCUCCUCCCUUUUCAUUUGGAGGGAACAGUCUGUGCUGGUGUUUUUGGUGCCAGUUUUGAUCGCCAUUGUUUCCUUUUGUUCACGUAAGGAGCUGCACUUGUGCUGUCCGCUAAUGCCGCCAUGUUCUUUAGCGCUCUUUAAAGAAAAAUCCACAGAUCAGCUACUGGAAGUGGACACUGUGUUGUUGAAGGAGGAAGUCGACGUCACGCCCGACUUUCUUCUCAUUGAAAUCGGUUAACAAGGUGAUCGGGAUUUUUAAUGGUUGCUGUUAAAUGUCAAUCUGUAUAUUAAAACAAUCAAAUGUAUAAAUGUAAUGUUUUUUUUAAUCAAAAUCAGCUAAUCAAUAAAAUUGAGGGUUUAGGCUUUUAUUUUGAUUCUACAUGUGCAGGAAAAUGUAGGUUAAUGUGGAGCCACUCAAGCACUCCUGUUAUUGUUGCAGUGAAAGACCAAACAAACCUGAGAUCACUGUAAAGAUUUCAAAUGGGACAUUCCAGUGGAUGUGGUGCCUGGAGAUGUCGACUGAUGUCAUUCGCUGGAAAGUAGUAAUUGACUCUAGUCAAGGUGGAAGAGUAGCAGCUCUUUAGCUCUGAUUUUCUGCUGCAUUUACCACCUUAAAUGUUCUGGUGAAUCAUUUUGGACUGACAACUAUUUUGUAUUAACUGAUAACUUCAUUGUCUACCUUGUUUAGCUUCAUCUACCAGCGAAUCAGAAGACAGCGGACCAGAAGUGACCAGACAGCAACUGGAUGCUGAGAAGCCUGUUGACCAGAAGAUUCAUGAAUCGUCUGAAUGCAUCCAGCAUAUUGGAGAUGUGCUGGAUGGGAAUGAAGAGCUCCAAAGGCUCUCAUCACUAAAGCUCCAGGCAGAAUUCCAUCAAUAAUCACCUGGACCAGAGUUUCACCAGAGACCAUUAGUCAGUCAUCUUUUGUUUUUAAAAUUGAUGCCUGGUUGCAUUUUCUUUCUCUGGGAUGCCAUCAGGACAACCAAGAACCCUAACCCUCCUCUGGAAAUCAGCAGCAGUAUUUCUGGCAGCCGCUCUGUUUUAUAGUGACUCUAACUGGCUUCUAUGUGAGACUAAAUAAUCAUUUUCUUCAAAAUCCUCCACGUUUAACAUACUUUUGCAUCCGCCAUACUUACCAGCAGAGUAUGAAAAAUGACAUCUAGAUUUUUGUCUUUCCCUUACCUCACUUAACCCUAACCCCACUUAACCCUAACCCCACUUAACCCUAACCCCACUUAACCCUAACCUCACUUAACCCUAACCCCACUUAACCCUAACCCCACUUAACCCUUACCCCACUUAACCCUUACCUUACUUAAUCCUAACCUAACUUAACCUUAGAAAGCCGGCCAGGCGUGUCCCGGUGAUCAUCUUCUGCUAUUAAAAUUGAUGCCUGAUUGCUUUUUUUUUGUCUCUGGGAUGCCAGGCGUCCCCUGGGGGCUAGAACCAUUUUUUUUUUUCAUUUUUGGUAGGGGACGCCACCACCGCUAUCAUUUUUUUAAGGCUGUGACAGUGGCAGUAGCCAUAAAUAAAAAAAUUUAAAAUCUUGAUACCAGAAUCUUAACUUUCCUCUGAUUUACCUUUUAACCCUUCUAACCCUAUACAUUUAUUUUUUAAUUCAAUUGUUAACUUCUUAAUUUCAGUGUAAAUUGUCAAGCCAUGUUAUAUCACGUUCAAUUGUUCUUUAAUUAAAAAACCCUCCUGUGUCCA